Molecule: ribosomal RNA, 192 nt
Filed under: uncultured bacterium
Lineage: Bacteria
Description: partial 16S ribosomal RNA
Rfam family: Bacterial small subunit ribosomal RNA
Source: RNAcentral
UAUGCAACUUGAGUACAUGAAGGUGGAAUCGUUAGUAAUCGUAGAUCAGAUCGCUACGGUGAAUACGUUCCCGGGCGUUGUACACACCGCCCGUCACACCAUGGGAGUUGGUUCUACCCGAAGGCGUUUUCUUAACCGCAAGGAGAGAGACGACCACGGUAGGGUCAGCGAGUGGGGUGAAGUCGUAACAAG